This 1536-nucleotide long non-coding RNA is filed under the name Mytilus galloprovincialis (Mediterranean mussel). Lineage: Eukaryota; Metazoa; Mollusca; Bivalvia; Mytilida; Mytilidae. The record is from RNAcentral.
CCUGAAACUAGAAAAAUGCUUGUUUUGGCACCUUUUGGGCCCCUAAUUCCUAAACGGUUUGGACCAUCAUCCCCAAAAUAAAUCCCAACCUUCCUUUUAUGGUAUUGAACCUUCUGAAAAAAUUUCAUUAAGAUCUAUUCACUUAAACUAAAGUUAUUAUCCGGAAACCAAAGUGUCUUCGGACGACGACGACGCAGACGACGCAGACGACGCUGACGACGCAGACGACGCAGACGACGCAGACGACGACAUCAUACCAUUAUACGAACCAAAAAUUUGUUUGGGGUCAUAUAAAAAUCACUCACACUGAACCUCAACCCCAUUUAUCUCAUUGUGAGCUUUAUCCUUAGUAUGUAUUUUCAUGUGUCUCUGUAAACUACCAAGCUGACUAAACCCUUUACCACAUACAUCACAGUCAUGAGGUUUAUCCCCUGUAUGUGUUCUCAUGUGAAUCUUUAAAUUACAAUGCUGACCAAACCCUUUACCACACACAUCACAUAUAUAAGGUUUACUUCCAGUAUGCAUACUCAUGUGAAGCUGCAAAUGAUAAAGCUGACUAAACCCUUUACCACAUACAUAACAGUCAUGAGGUUUAUCACCUGUAUGUAUUCUCAUGUGUCUGUUUAAACUACCAUUCUGACUAAACCCUUUACCACAUAAUUCACAGACAUGAGAUUUACCACCUGUAUGUAUUCUCAUGUGUUCCUUUAAUACAUCAUAGUCAUGAGGUUUAUCAUGUUUAUCACCGCUAUGAAUUCUCUUGUGUCUUUGUAAAUUACCAAGGUGACUAAACUCUUUACCACAUACAUCACAGUCAUGAGGCUUAUCGCCAGAAUGUGUUCUCAUGUGUCUCUGUAAACUAGAAAGCUGACUAAACCCUUUACCACAUUCACCACAGUCAUAAGGUUUAUCACCUGUAUGUGUUCUCAUGUGAACUUGUAAAAGACCAAACCUAAUAAAUCCUUUACCACAUACAUCACAGACAUGAGGUUUUUCGGUUGAAUGUGUCCUCAUGUGAUCCCGUAAAUUACUGUGUUGACUAAACCCCUUACCACAAUCACCACAGUCAUAAGGUGUAUCACCUGUAUGUGUUCUCAUGUGUAUCUUUAGGUAACUACCUCUAGAAAAUCGUCUCUCACACAUAUCACAUUUAUGACGUUUUUCAGCUGUUUGCAUUCUUAUGUGUCUCAUUAAGUCUCUACUGCUACUAUUUUUUCUAGCACAAAUAUCCCAUUCCUGCAGUUUAUUACCAGCCUCUGUUCUUACAUGUCUGUGUAGCUUACCAUUGAUUGUGACUAAAUCCUCUGUUCUUGCAUGUCUGUGUAGCGUACCAUUGAUUGUGACUAAAUCCUCUGUUCUUGCAUGGCUGUGUAGCGUACCAUUGAUUGUGACUAAAUCCUCUACCACAUUCAUCCUAAUUAUAAGUCUUAUCUCUGUAAGAAACAACAAAAAAUAAUGACUAAACCAUUUUAAACAUACCCAGUAAAUUACCUUUAACACAUGUUUAAGCUAUCUAUGUUGAGUUCACUGUUUUGG